RNAcentral lists this long non-coding RNA (916 nucleotides) under Capra hircus (goat). RNAcentral's name for it is "lncRNA (ENSCHIG00000005256.1)". Lineage: Eukaryota; Metazoa; Chordata; Mammalia; Artiodactyla; Bovidae. The record is from RNAcentral.
CAUGAGACGCUGGGAAAUUUCUGUAAAGUAUGAAAAACCUCUUCUCUUCUGCUGCCAUCGAGUCUGAAGUGAUGGAAAGCUUUGCAUUAAGAAGAACAGCGCCAAGUUCUCAGGUUGACAAUGGUUUCUACCAAUUAGACCUGAAAAGGAUACAACUGACUUAAAGGUCGUGAGCUUUUAAACGAGAUGUUCUGCAGAACGGACAAUGUUGACAUGACAUUAUGGAGACACAUCAUGACUGGAGAGCAUUUUGUCACAAUGGUGAUGUGUGAACUUCAGAAGAGUUGGAUCCCAAGUUUGAACAUGCUGCCAAGAAUGUGGCUUCCUUUUUAGAGUAUCCAGAUGUCUCAUGUCUGGAGAAAUGGGCUUUUCAAAUUGUUUAUUUGUUGGUUUAUAUCAGGACAAGAAAGAGUACAUUGCCUUCUUGAAUCUAAUUCAAGUCACUUCCAGAGUCUGAGAAACAUGCCAUACCUUCAGACACUUAUUUUUAUCUGCUCUGUAGCUGACUUUUAUUGACCGGAUCAAAGCUAGACUUAUUUUAAAAGAAUAAGCAAAAAUAAAACCAGAAGUCUCCUUAUGUUAAGCCAAGUCAAAGGUUUAAGGUCAUUUCACAAAAACAUUAGGGGAUGAAAUAAAAGAGGGGAUAUCAUCUGAAGCUUUUAUAACCUUGAUGCUUCACCAUAAGCACCAAAGGAAAUCAAGCAGAAUCUUCAUGGCUUUUCUCCAUCGUGUGCAUGUGUUGAUUCUGCCUCAGGAAUCUGUAGACAACUGUCUUCGUAUGCAGAUUCCAGCAAUGACCAUCAGUAAUGGCAAUGGAAUUUCCAAGCUUUGGGGACUGCAAGAGAGGCAUUUAAGGUGUAGAAGACAACUCCGACCCCACAUUGAUCAUGGAUGUUCUGCUUCUAAAGAUGAGUGA